CCAGCCGUUGGGUGCCUCGCGCACUUAGUGGCGAAGUUAACGCGAUAAGUCGACCGCCUGGGGAGUACGGCCGCAAGGUUAAAACUCAAAUGAAUUGACGGGGGCCCGCACAAGCGGUGGAGCAUGUGGUUUAAUUCGAUGCAACGCGAAGAACCUUACCUACUCUUGACAUCCUGCGAACGUGUGAGAGAUCACUUGGUGCCUUCGGGAGCGCAGAGACAGGUGCUGCAUGGCUGUCGUCAGCUCGUGUUGUGAAAUGUUGGGUUAAGUCCCGUAACGAGCGCAACCCUUGUCCUUAUUUGCCAGCACGUAAUGGUGGGAACUCUAAGGAGACUGCCGGUGACAAACCGGAGGAAGGUGGGGACGACGUCAAGUCAUCAUGGCCCUUACGAGUAGGGCUACACACGUGCUACAAUGGCCGGUACAAAGGGCAGCGAGCUCGCGAGAGUCAGCGAAUCCCUUAAAGCCGGUCUCAGUCCGGAUCGGAGUCUGCAACUCGACUCCGUGAAGUCGGAAUCGCUAGUAAUCGUGAAUCAGAAUGUCACGGUGAAUACGUUCCCGGGCCUUGCACACACCGCCCGU
Molecule: ribosomal RNA, 582 nt
Filed under: uncultured bacterium
Lineage: Bacteria
Description: bacterial SSU rRNA
Rfam family: Bacterial small subunit ribosomal RNA
Source: RNAcentral